CGACGAUGAACCCGCUUCGGUGGGGGAUUAGUGGCGAACGGGUGAGUAACACGUGGGCAAUCUGCCCUGCACUCUGGGACAAGCCCUGGAAACGGGGUCUAAUACCGGAUACGACCACUUCAGGCAUCUGAUGGUGGUGGAAAGCUCCGGCGGUGCAGGAUGAGCCCGCGGCCUAUCAGCUAGUUGGUGAGGUAACGGCUCACCAAGGCGACGACGGGUAGCCGGCCUGAGAGGGCGACCGGCCACACUGGGACUGAGACACGGCCCAGACUCCUACGGGAGGCAGCAGUGGGGAAUAUUGCACAAUGGGCGAAAGCCUGAUACAGCGACGCCGCGUGAGGGAUGACGGCCUUCGGGUUGUAAACCUCUUUCAGCAGGGAAGAAGCGAAAGUGACGGUACCUGCAGAAGAAGCGCCGGCUAACUACGUGCCAGCAGCCGCGGUAAUACGUAGGGCGCAAGCGUUGUCCGGAAUUAUUGGGCGUAAAGAGCUCGUAGGCGGCCUGUCACGUCGGAUGUGAAAGCCCGGGGCUUAACCCCGGGUCUGCAUUCGAUACGGGCAGGCUAGAGUUCGGUAGGGGAGAUCGGAAUUCCUGGUGUAGCGGUGAAAUGCGCAGAUAUCAGGAGGAACACCGGUGGCGAAGGCGGAUCUCUGGGCCGAUACUGACGCUGAGGAGCGAAAGCGUGGGGAGCGAACAGGAUUAGAUACCCUGGUAGUCCACGCCGUAAACGUUGGGAACUAGGUGUGGGCGACAUUCCACGUCGUCCGUGCCGCAGCUAACGCAUUAAGUUCCCCGCCUGGGGAGUACGGCCGCAGGC
Molecule: ribosomal RNA, 817 nt
Filed under: Streptomyces fradiae
Lineage: Bacteria; Bacillati; Actinomycetota; Actinomycetes; Kitasatosporales; Streptomycetaceae
Description: bacterial SSU rRNA
Rfam family: Bacterial small subunit ribosomal RNA
Source: RNAcentral